AUGCUUUUUAAAGCACUCAUUGGGCCAUUGACUAGUGACCCACUGAGCCGUCAAGAAAAGAUAAAACAAGAAAGGGUAAAGUAAAAACAUCAUUUUUGGGUGAAGCAGCAGCGUGUUGUGUGUUUGGCUUCAAUCAGUGCUGUAACAAGG
This is a small nucleolar RNA of Suncus etruscus (white-toothed pygmy shrew), 150 nucleotides long. The record is from RefSeq and is a predicted model, not a curated record. Lineage: Eukaryota; Metazoa; Chordata; Mammalia; Eulipotyphla; Soricidae.